This 445-nucleotide ribosomal RNA is filed under the name uncultured bacterium. RNAcentral's name for it is "bacterial SSU rRNA". It matches the Rfam family "Bacterial small subunit ribosomal RNA", at positions 71 to 507 of the family's 1533-position model. The record is from RNAcentral.
GGAAGCAGCUUGCUGCUUCGCUGACGCAGUGGCGGACGGGUGAGUAAUGUCUGGGAAACUGCCUGAUGGAGGGGGAUAACUACUGGAAACGGUAGCUAAUACCGCAUAACGUCGCAAGACCAAAGAGGGGGACCUUCGGGCCUCUUGCCAUCGGAUGUGCCCAGAUGGGAUUAGCUAGUAGGUGGGGUAACGGCUCACCUAGGCGACGAUCCCUAGCUGGUCUGAGAGGAUGACCAGUCACACUGGAACUGAGACACGGUCCAGACUCCUACGGGAGGCAGCAGUGGGGAAUAUUGCACAAUGGGCGCAAGCCUGAUGCAGCCAUGCCGCGUGUAUAAAGAAGGCCUUCGGGUUGUAAAGUACUUUCAGCGGGGAGGAAGNGCGAUAAGGUUAAUAACCUUGUCGAUUGACGUUACCCGCAGAANAAGCACCGGCUAACUCCGUG